This is a long non-coding RNA of Equus caballus (horse), 3531 nucleotides long. NCBI's taxonomy places the organism in Eukaryota, Metazoa, Chordata, Mammalia, Perissodactyla, Equidae. The record is from Ensembl.
ACCCAAAUGACCAUCAGUGGGUUAAUGGAUAAACAAACUGUGAUAUAUCCAUACAAUGGAAUAAUAUUUAGUAAUAAAAAAGAAUGAAUUACUGAUACAUGCUUCAAAACAAAGAUGAACUUUGAAAACAUUGUUCUAAGUGAAAGAAUACAGAUAAAAAAGGCCACGCGUUGCAUGAUUCCGCUUAUAUGAAAUAUCCAGAAUAGGUAAAUCCUCAGAGACAGGCAGUAGAUAGAUUAGUGAUUGACAGGGGCGGGAAUGGGGUUGGGGAAUUGGGAAUGACUGCUAACAGGUAUGGAGUUUCUUUUUGGGGUGGUGAAAUGUUCUGGAAUUAGAUAGUGGUGAUGGCUGUGCAACCUCGCAAAUAUACUAAAAACUAUUGAAUUGUACAUUUUAAAAGUGGGUUGUAUGGUAUGUGAAUUAUAUCUCAAUUGAAAAUAAAAAAGGUUUGGGGCUGGCCCCGUGGCCGAGUGGUUAAGUUCGCGCACUCCACUGCAGGCGGCCCAGUGUUUCGUUGGUUCGAAUCCUGGGUGCGGACAUGGCGCUGCUCAUCAAACCACGCUGAGGCAGCGUCCCACAUGCCACAACUAGAAGGACUCACAGCUAAAAAUACACAACUAUGUACCGGGGGACUUUGGGGAGAAAAAAGGAAAAAAUAAAAUCUUUAAAAAAAAAAAAAAAAAAGGUUUUACCAGUGACUUAACCACUAGCAGAAAUGUGGUGAGUAACCGUGUUUUUGGAUUGCCAGACAAAUGUUCAUGUUCUGUCACCAUGACUAGUAAAUAUUUCCUGAAUUAAAUGGAGAUGUAAUACUUGUCUUCAAGGACCUUGCAUAUAUGAACAUGAAAAGAGAAAAUACUGGGAAAUAAGUAGUAGACCAGAAUGAGUGGUAUGAACGAAGAGUUCUCAAAGUGGGGUCUCAAAGUGGGAUUUUUGUGACCCACCCAGAGAGGUUUGGAUUUGACAGGUCUGUGGUGUAUUCCUGGGACCCUGUAUUUUUAGGAAGGACUAUAGGUGUGGAAGAGACUCAUCCAUAUCCUGCUUUAUUCUUCUUCUUGCUACUUGCAAAAUUACACUUCCCCAGCCCUUUUUGGAUGGGUGCACCAUAUGACUAAUUCUGGCCAGUGGGUUGAGAGUGGAAGUUAUGUAUAUCACUUUUGGGUUAAAGCAUUUAAUUGGCAGUAUCAGAACUUCUAGCAUUCUCUUCCAUUGCUGUGCCAAUCAGGGGAGGCCAUGUGUUCCAGACAGGUCAGGUACAGGAUGGUGGAGUCUUCAUUAGCCUGGAUCUUUGAGUCACUGCGUGGAACAAAAUGGUGCUAGAAAGUUGCCCAGACCAGCCCUGGGUUUUGCAUCAGCAAUAAAUAAACCUUUGUUGUGUUAAACCAUUGAAAUGUUGGCAUGUUUGUUAUUGUAGCAUAAUCUGGCCUAUCCUUAACCAGGGGAUUUUGAUGAUUGACCAGGUUUGGGAAUCAGUAGUAGAGAUAAUAAAAGCUAAAGAAUUGGGGGGUGAAAAGAUCAUCUAGGGCUGAGGGUGAUCAGGAAAGACUUAAUAGAAGAAUUUGAGCUGGGCCUUGAAAGAUGGAUAAGAUUGGGAUAGGGAGAAAUAAAUAGGACAUUCUGGAUAGGGGAGAUGUCACAAAUGAUACGGAAGGAGUCAUAGCAAAAUAAUAGUUCCUUAAGUUUUCUUUUCUCUUAAAAGUCAGCUAAGACUUCUCUUUAUAAUGUGCUUGGGGGGCAGAUGCUUCAACUAUUGCCAAAUAUUUAUUUUGUAGUUGGACAAACUGAAAUAACAAUCCAUGUGCAGUGUCACGCAAUGAAUCUUUCAACAAAGAUUGAAUCAUUUCAGUGUGUCCUUUGUUCUGAUGGACAGUUGUCUUGAAUUCUUCUUUCAGAGAGAAUGUAAGCACGUCAUUUUCAAUGGAAUCGGGGAAGGUUAGAAAUGGAAGACUUGAAUGCCAGGCUUCAGUUAUCCUCCCCGAUACAAUGAGAAAGACCCACAUGUUUUCCUUGGAUAUUUAUAUCCAGGUGAUUUUUUUUUUUUUCUGUCUGAAAGAGCCACCUCUUCUGCCAGCAUGCUCUCGUUCCUCCAUUCUGUCCAAGUGUCUUUGUUCCCUUUCCUGCUUGCUCUCACCUUCCUUUCUCCCAUCCUCCAACCUUUCAGGAUAUGAGAUCAGUGAGGAGGAGGGAAAAGGAACUGAUGUUUACCCAGUGCUUUAUGUGUGCCAUACAUGCUUUGACAUAUAUCAUCUCAUCUAGUCCCUGAUGGCAGCAUUCUGAGAGAGUCUCCAGAAAGGAAUGCAACCCUACUGACAUCUUGAUUUUUGCCAGUGAGAUCCACGUCGAACUUCCGACCUACAGAACUCUGAUGUUCCUGCAAAUCAGAAUUGAUUUGAACUAAGGUGAAUGAUAAACAUGCGCUGUCAGACUGCCUCCUGGGAGCCGACUGGUUGGUACAGGGAGAAGAUACUAGGAAUUUCUGAAUUGUAGAAUUACUCCUCUCCCAUGGGUUUCUGCAUUCAAGUCUUCCAAAACUCAAGGAACUAUAGAGAUUUUUCCUGGGUUACAGAGCCAUGAGCCAGAUGAAGGGUACAGAGAACAUCUUUGUUCUGAGUGGACUUUUUGUGACUGCAGUUUGAGAAAACAAACAGACAAGAGAGGUUCCUGCUUCCCUCUUCUGUAAACCUGUGUCUAGGUGUGGUAAUGUCAGAGGCUGAUGGGAAAAGAAAGGUCAAACAAAUAAAAAAGAGCCUCGGCUUUAAAAUGUGCGCAUGUCUAGCGGCGGUGGCUGAGCUGUAUGGUGUGGACUGGAAUGAUGACUGCGGGCCCCGCUCAUCCCUGACCCCCCUCCCAACCACGUCUGCCCCGUGACACUGGAAGAAGUAAAGAUGAGAGUUGGCUCUUGGAGAAAUUUGGCAGGCUUUGCUGACUUCCAGAAAACAGGGAGGAGUUGGACUAGCCAAUGGCCUCUUUUCUGAAGCUUUAGCUGGCUGGGAAAUGGAAGGAAGGGGUGUGAGUGCUCAGAUAAUGAGCUGAGCUGUUCCUGGAAGCAUACAGGAGGCCAGUGAAGAGAGCGUCAGAACCAGUUGUCUUUCCCCUGUGGAGGGAAUUGGGGUAGACGAGAAAUAGAAGUCAGAGGGCCAGGUCCUUGUAGACGUCUUUGUUCCACUUCAUCAUUGUUCUUACUUACGUCUGAUUUUUCCACAGGGCAAAUUUGUGGGGCUCAGGAGGGUGGUGAUGGCCCACCCCAUUCUCGCUUUGACCCUGAGAGGUUACAUGCCACUGUUUCUAGACAUGAAGUGGUGAGCCAAGAAGUCUAUGACCGACACCCCAAUAGAGUAGAGUCAGAAGUCCCUGGGCCUAAGGUCUCAUUCUACCACUUUUUCUGUGUGUGCUGUGGGCAAGCCAUUGAAUUGUCUUGAGCCAAUUUUCUCAUUUGCAAAGUGGGAACAAUAUUAAUGCUCACCCUUAAGACUGUUGCAAAGAUUGGAGUUCAGAUAUUCACAACCACUUUAUGAAAUGAGACAUCAUGUG